AGCUGGAGUUUCUGCCUAGACUUUGGUCAGAGGGAACCCAGAGGGACCAGGAUGAAGAGUGAAGGAAAUGCCAAGGAGCUGACUGUCUGUCUGUCAAAGAAGACCCUGUUGAAAGCCCUGGGAGAAAUGGAGGAGGUGGGUAUGACCCUCCUUUUGGGCUAUAUAUUACAAAUCUUUGGCUUGGAGUUUCUGUUGCUGACUUGCUUCUUGGAGGUGGCUUUGGACUUGAACCUCUGCUUCGACUUGGGACCUUGGCUCUUAGACUGUGUCAUGGAGGACUGCUCCUGGAUCUUCUCCUUUGGACUAUGUCUUGGGUACCCAGCAGUGGUCAUGGCUUCAAUCUAGAGUCUGGCCCAUCCUGAUGAGAUUUCUCAGAACCCAGAACAGUGAAAGGAGUCCAAAAGAGAGAGUUAUGGAGGAGCCAAAGGGGUGGGUUUUAAAGCUAUCCAACUGGCUUUGGAGGAGUGCUAAAAACCAUUUGAAAGGACAAGUUCAACGUACAGACUGAAGGGAUGCUUCCUGAUCUCUCCAGCUGAAAGUGCUCUUUCCCUCCUCAAAUUUUCCAAGAAUUCUUUGUCUGGGUAAUAAUAAUAACCAAUAUGUGUAGAGCACUUUACACAAUAACUUCAGCUGAUGUCAUGGCAAACUUCUGAAGUGUAUUCUGGUUUUAGUCCCAUUUCAGAGAUGAGCACAACCGAGACUCAGAAAUGAAAAAAUGACUUGUCCAAGGCCCUACGGGUGUUCCGUGACAGAGUUAGAAUUUAGACCAUGUCCCAUUUUAGCCCAACAUCCAGGGACCUAAAUCUUAAACCUGGAUUUACAUGCUGGUUCUGACCUUUGGUGCCUCGGUGAUCUUCAUGUCUCACUCCAGUUUUUUCCCCUGUAAAAUGUGAAGUUUGGACUUGGCUAAUAAAGGCUCCUCCCAACUCUGAUGUCCUGAGUUU
RNAcentral lists this long non-coding RNA (944 nucleotides) under Monodelphis domestica (gray short-tailed opossum). RNAcentral's name for it is "lncRNA (ENSMODG00000030523.2)". Lineage: Eukaryota; Metazoa; Chordata; Mammalia; Didelphimorphia; Didelphidae. The record is from RNAcentral.